Tinamus guttatus (white-throated tinamou) is the source of this 88-nucleotide non-coding RNA. Lineage: Eukaryota; Metazoa; Chordata; Aves; Tinamiformes; Tinamidae. The record is from RefSeq and is a predicted model, not a curated record.
AAAAAACAGAAGCAGGAUAACAUUGAAGUGGUUAACAUAUACAGAAAACCAGAUACUGUUGAACUGAUAGAUAUGAUAGGUGGCAUCU